GAUGAACGCUAGCGGCAGGCUUAAUACAUGCAAGGCGAGGGGGCAGCAAUGUCACCGUCGUACGGGUGCGUAACGCGUAUGCAACCUACCUUCAACUGGGGGAUAGCCCGGGGAAACCCGGAUUAAUACCGCAUGACACAUUGGUAUAGCAUUAUAUUAAUUGUUAAAGAUUUAUUGGUUGAAGAUGGGCAUGCGUUCGA
RNAcentral lists this ribosomal RNA (200 nucleotides) under uncultured bacterium. RNAcentral's name for it is "partial 16S ribosomal RNA". It matches the Rfam family "Bacterial small subunit ribosomal RNA", at positions 28 to 240 of the family's 1533-position model. The record is from RNAcentral.